RNAcentral lists this ribosomal RNA (506 nucleotides) under uncultured bacterium. RNAcentral describes it as "partial 16S ribosomal RNA". It matches the Rfam family "Bacterial small subunit ribosomal RNA", at positions 29 to 523 of the family's 1533-position model. The record is from RNAcentral.
AUUGAACGCUGGCGGCAGGCCUAACACAUGCAAGUCGGACGGUAGCACAGAGGAGCUUGCUCCUUGGGUGACGAGUGGCGGACGGGUGAGUAAUGUCUGGGGAUCUGCCCGAUAGAGGGGGAUAACCACUGGAAACGGUGGCUAAUACCGCAUAACGUCGCAAGACCAAAGAGGGGGACCUUCGGGCCUCUCACUAUCGGAUGAACCCAGAUGGGAUUAGCUAGUAGGCGGGGUAAUGGCCCACCUAGGCGACGAUCCCUAGCUGGUCUGAGAGGAUGACCAGCCAGACUGGACCUGAGACACGGUCCAGACUCCUACGGGAGGCAGCAGUGGGGAAUAUUGCACAAUGGGCGCAAGCCUGAUGCAGCCAUGCCGCGUGUAUGAAGAAGGCCUUCGGGUUGUAAAGUACUUUCAGCGGGGAGGAAGGCGGUGAGGUUAAUAACCUCGCCGAUUGACGUUACCCGCAGAAGAAGCACCGGCUAACUCCGUGCCAGCUGCCGCGGUAA